Non-coding RNA from Salvia hispanica, 171 nucleotides. Lineage: Eukaryota; Viridiplantae; Streptophyta; Magnoliopsida; Lamiales; Lamiaceae. The record is from RefSeq and is a predicted model, not a curated record.
GGAGGUGAUGAAGGGAUCGAAGAGGUCAUCAUCUGUUGCAAUCCCUCCCGUCAACUGCCGGUUUGUGAUCCGAAGCUUAGGUAACGAUCAUGUAUUAUUGGAGAGACUAUCAUGGGAAAUUGUGGUCUUUCCCACUGUUAUCUAUAUAUUUCAGCAAUUGGAUUGGCUCAA